CUUGCGCGGACCGGGCUGCCCACCCCAGGCUGGAGAGAGAUGGUCGGGGAGUGCGAGCGCUGGCGGCCGAAGGCUGGAGCCGUCCCCGGCUGCUGAGGCCGGCCCUGACGCCGAGAGGGUUUCUUUGUGUAGCUAACUUUGUCAGUCCAGGAACUGCCUCCUCUGGCCUCGAACUCGGAGAUCCGCUUGCCUCCGCCGCCCGAGUGCUGGAACUAAAGGAGUGCUUCGCCACUGCCGGGCUGACAGGGUUGUUUUUAGUCGGAGGUAGUAUCUUUCACAGGAGUCCCGGCUGACCUCGAACUCGGAGGUCCCCCGAGUUUUCAGGUAUGCAACGCCAUACCUAGCUUCCAUCAUUUUGUUCUGUGUAUGUCUGUGCGGAGCAUUUGGCCCUCUCCCUCAUCUUGCAGGUUAUUUUGAAAAUGUUUACUUCUGUCUGGCUGUGCCAUUGUUAAGGGGCUCUGCCCUGGGGGAUUCCCUCUGAGCAGUGACUCACUUGGCAACAGUGGGAGCAAAAUGGGAGGAAGCUGACAAAGUUGUCUGCCCCAGGGGAAGUAAGUACUGAAGAAAAUCACCAGCCGCCCUUCUCUUACCCACUCUCUCGGCACCCGUCCGUCCUGAGGCAGUGAGAUUCUAGGAAGCUCUGAUUGAGUCUGACACAGUGGCUUUUGUUUUGUCCGUUUUGCUCCCCUCGAGACAGGUUAUAAAAGACUCUGGGGCAUUUCAGCAUUACUGCCCCCUACCGGCCGGGCACCCAGAGAUCUCGCAUCCUCGCACCCGGUCCAGGUUGGCGAUUCAAUGUAUGUUCGGAGACAUCGGUCCCAAAGCCUCGAAACUGGUCCUUACGACACCCACCGCCCUCAAGGUGGACAGUAUUGCAGCCUGGAUCCAGGCGUCUCACGUUAAGCGGCACCUCCGCAGGACAACCCAGGACCCUCCCAAUGGAAGCUUCAGCACACCCCAAAUCCUCUAAAGCUAAGACUUGUCAGAUCAGCCUGGUCCUGCCAGUUUUGCUGGCUUUUACUCUGAUGCCCCUGCCCACCUAUAGUAACCCCCAUGCACCCCAAAAACUGACUUGGCAGGUUUCCUCACAAACUGGAGAAAUCAUUUGGACCACCUCCAAACUAGUCCCUCCAGGUACGUGGUGGCCUACCCUCUCCCCUGAUUUCUGUCAAUUAGCGGCUGGAUUAGACUCCUGGGAUAUCCCAGACUCACAGCCCCAACAGUUGUCUGUAGAUGCUGGCAAAAGAUUUUCUCCUGGGGGAAAAUUUGGAUGCGGGAGUCCAGAGGCGAGAUGCUUUUUAGGAAAACUAGAUUUCUACGUCUGUCCCAAAGAUGGCCGGGGUCAGAGUACUGCUCGACGUUGUGGAGGUUUAGAAAGCCUAUACUGUGCUGCCUGGGGAUGUGAGACCACUGGAGAUGCGUAUUGGAGACCCAGUUCUUGGGACUGGAUCACUGUUCAGAAGAAUUACACGUCCCCAGAACAAUGUUCCAGUGCGAGUGCAGGAACCUGCAGCACCAGCCCCACUUGCUUACCCUUAAAUAUUACCAUUACUUCCCAGGGACGAGCAGGAGGGACUUCAGGAUGGAUACAGGGAAGGACUUGGGGCAUCCGAUGGUAUUUUCCAAAUAGAAUGAUCAAAAAGGAUUUGGGUGCUACCUUCACAAUAAAAUUAAAAAUAGAAAGUCCCCCGGGUGAGCCAGUGGGGCCCAAUCAGGUACUACCUGACCAGGGACCUCCUGCCUCCGUACCUCCUAAAGAGACCUAUAUUUCCCCAAGGCCUAUGUCUGGGGACCCUAGUCCCCUGAUAUCAACAUCUGUGCAACCAAACUCUCCCUAGUCCCAGGACAACAGGAAACAGAUACCUGGUACCCUCCUCUAUUGAUCUGUGGUGGGCCUGCAACACUGAUCUGACUCCUUGUAUCUCUACCUCUGUCUUUAAUGACGCCACUGAUUUCUGUGUGCUGAUUCAACUAGUCCCCCAAAUGUACUAUCAUAAUGCUUCCAGUUUUGAGACUGAGUUUGACCUACACCCCAGACACCGAAAAAGUGAACUGGCCACCAUCAUCUAGUUAGGUCUGGGGUUGGGGGCUGCAGAGGUGGGACUGGGAUCUACAGCUUUGGUUAGGGGAGAUCAGUACUACUCCCAAUUAAGAGCAGCUAUGGGUGAAGACUUAAGGGCCCUAGAACAGUCCAUCUCCGAGCUUGAAGAAUCGAUGACCUCGCUCUCAGAAGUGGUGUUACAAAAUAGGCACAGGUGCCAGCCUCAGGCUUUGUGCUUGGUUGAUAGGCGGUUUUGUCGGAGACAGGAUCUCUGCAACCUCUUCUGGCCUCAAACCUUCAGUGAGCUCUUGCCUCAGCAGGGGUUGUAAGGCUGUACCACUGUGCUUCAUUUGUCUGUUUUUCUUAAAAGCUCUGUGUGUGUGUGUGUGCUCGCCCAAGGAGGCCAGAAAAGGAUAUUGGUUCCCCUGUAGCUCAGCCAGCAGGGUUACACUUCUAGUGGGUAGGACUUAAUAAGUCCCCUAUGGUGUAAUCAUUUUGGAAGAGGUUCAGGUUUAAUGAGAGUCCCUGUCUCAAAACAACACCCAAGGUUGAUGAUUUGAAUGAAAUGCCCCACAUUGUCUUGGACAUUUAAAGUUUUGGUUCCCACUUGGUGGCAGUGUUUGGGGAGGUUGUGGAAUUGUGGUCCUGUUGGAGAAUGGCGCUGGGGGCAGGCAUUGGGAGGCUGCUGGGUUCCUGCUUGCAGCUCAAGUCAUGACCCCCUGGAACUAUAAAUGCAAAUAAACUUUUCUCUGUAACUUGA
This is a non-coding RNA of Myodes glareolus (Bank vole), 2801 nucleotides long. The record is from RefSeq and is a predicted model, not a curated record. Lineage: Eukaryota; Metazoa; Chordata; Mammalia; Rodentia; Cricetidae.